Molecule: long non-coding RNA, 743 nt
Filed under: Fukomys damarensis (Damara mole-rat)
Lineage: Eukaryota; Metazoa; Chordata; Mammalia; Rodentia; Bathyergidae
Description: lncRNA (ENSFDAG00000022016.1)
Source: RNAcentral
CUAUUCUCUGGGAGGCGGGGGAAAUUAAAAUUAAACCUUCCCGAAGACAGCAGUAUGGAGCCUCUCUCAAAUGCUAAAACCUUAAGCACACAGCUGGGCAGGUGUCUGCCUGUGUCUGUUCUCCUCCCGUGCUGGGUGUCCAGGAGCUGUCUUCUGAUGUCACCGUGUCCUUCUCCCUCCGACAUUGCUGCUAGAACCUGGAGUGGAAGAGAAGGCGCCUGGGGAACCCACAUGACAAUGAGCCCUACCCACUGGGACAGCCGCGUGUGGCCCGUGGGCCUCGCUGUGAUGUGGAGCAGGACCCCUGCUCCCCUGGCCCACUUAUCUCAGUCUUGGCACUGCGUCUGUGCUGUCUCCGCAUGUGAGAACAAGGAACACUCAAGGAUGCACGGAGGGUAUUUCUCUCUGCCCUGAUAGCUCCUUGCUGAGAGAAAAUGGGGGAAAGCUGGGCCCAGCUACAGCCCCCACACCCUGGGCCUCUCUGCAGGGUUGGGCAGGGCGGCUUCCCAAGAAUGCGCUGCUGUGGAUACUGGGCAGGAUGGCUCUGAGGAAGCAGGCACGCGGUGGCACCUGCAGAGGCUGCUGCUCUUCACGGCCCUGAGCACAGAGCCUGUUGACUGGGAGCAGAGUGGAGUAGAUGACUCUCUUCCAGGCUGCAGACCUGAGCCUGGGGCCCCAGAGGAGUCACAGGGCCUAAGGUAAGAAUGUCCCGUGUCACCCCUCUUCCGCACAGGGCCUGCCGC